Non-coding RNA from Ornithorhynchus anatinus (platypus), 74 nucleotides. The record is from Rfam. NCBI's taxonomy places the organism in Eukaryota, Metazoa, Chordata, Mammalia, Monotremata, Ornithorhynchidae.
GGCCAGUUAGCUCAGUUGGUUAGAGUGUGGUGCUAAUAACGCCAAGGUCAUGGGUUUGAUUACCGUAUGGGCCA